Molecule: unclassified non-coding RNA, 644 nt
Filed under: Gossypianthus lanuginosus
Lineage: Eukaryota; Viridiplantae; Streptophyta; Magnoliopsida; Caryophyllales; Amaranthaceae
Description: sequence contains 18S rRNA gene, ITS1, 5.8S rRNA gene, ITS2, 28S rRNA gene
Rfam family: 5.8S ribosomal RNA (bases 265-419)
Source: RNAcentral
UUUCCGUAGGUGAACCUGCGGAAGGAUCAUUGUCGAAACCUGCAUAGCAGAACAACUAGUGAACAUGUUAUUAACAUGCAAGGAGGAGGGGUGAUGGCUUGCCUAGUCCCUUCCCCUAAUGUCAUGUGGCUUUCUGUUUUGAUUGCUGCAUGGCAAAAUAACCAAACCCCGGCGCGUUAUGCGUCAAGGAAUACAACCAAGAGUUUGCCUAUCCUGAACUGGGUUUCCGGUUCAUGGGUGUGGCACCAAUGUAAGUUAUGAAAUGACUCUCGGCAACGGAUAUCUCGGCUCUCGCAUCGAUGAAGAACGUAGCGAAAUGCGAUACUUGGUGUGAAUUGCAGAAUCCCGUGAACCAUCGAGUUUUUGAACGCAAGUUGCGCCCGAAGCCUUUUGGCCAGGGCACGUCUGCCUGGGCGUCACGCAUAGCGUCUCACCUAUCCCACGAAAUCUUGGUUUAGGAGAGGAUGAUGGCCUCCCAUGUCACACCUGGCGUGGAUGGCUUAAAAAGGAGCCUUGGGUUACUAGAUGCCGUGGCGAUUGGUGGUACAAGCAUCUCGCUGCGGGAUAAGUAUCUUAAUUGGCUCGUAGGACCCUUUGAUAACCUUUGCGACCCCAGGUCAGGCGGGGUUACCCGCUGAGUUUAA